UACAGAGGGUGCAAGCGUAAAUCGGAAUUACUGGGCGUAAAGCGCACGUAGGCGGUUAGUUAAGUUGGAUGUGAAAGCCCCGGGCUCAACCUGGGAAUUGCAUUCAAAACUGGCUAACUAGAGUAUGUGAGAGGGGGGUAGAAUUCCAAGUGUAGCGGUGAAAUGCGUAGAGAUUUGGAGGAAUACCAGUGGCGAAGGCGGCCCCCUGGCACAACACUGACGCUCAGGUGCGAAAGCGUGGGGAGCAAACAGG
RNAcentral lists this ribosomal RNA (253 nucleotides) under uncultured bacterium. RNAcentral describes it as "partial 16S ribosomal RNA". It matches the Rfam family "Bacterial small subunit ribosomal RNA", at positions 524 to 776 of the family's 1533-position model. The record is from RNAcentral.